RNAcentral lists this unclassified non-coding RNA (330 nucleotides) under soil metagenome. RNAcentral describes it as "partial contains 5.8S ribosomal RNA, internal transcribed spacer 2, and large subunit ribosomal RNA". The stretch from base 1 to 120 matches the Rfam family "5.8S ribosomal RNA", at positions 35 to 154 of the family's 154-position model. The record is from RNAcentral.
GAUGAAUAACGUAGCAAAAUGCGAUAAGUAAUGUGAAUUGCAGAAUUCAGUGAAUCAUCGAAUCUUUGAACGCACAUUGCGCCCCCUGGUAUUCCGGGGGGCAUGCCUGUUCGAGCGUCAUUUCACCACUCAAGCCUCGCUUGGUAUUGGGCAACGCGGUCCGCCGCGUGCCUCAAAUCGACCGGCUGGGUCUUCUGUCCCCUAAGCGUUGUGGAAACUUUCGCUAAAGGGUGUUCGGGAGGCUACGCCGUAAAACAACCCCAUUUCUAAGGUUGACCUCGGAUCAGGUAGGGAUACCCGCUGAACUUAAGCAUAUCAAUAAGCGGAGGA